RNAcentral lists this long non-coding RNA (2124 nucleotides) under Helianthus annuus (common sunflower). RNAcentral's name for it is "hypothetical non coding rna". Lineage: Eukaryota; Viridiplantae; Streptophyta; Magnoliopsida; Asterales; Asteraceae. The record is from RNAcentral.
GUAAGCGUCCUUGUGUACCUUCUUGUCUCCUGUACGAUUGUUAAUCGUGGAGCACGAUAGGAUACAGCUUGUCGGACGCUGAUUGGUCCAUUUCUCUGCCACUUGUACCUUUGUACUGUCCCAGGAUGGCAUGCGCUUCUGCCCCCCGCGCGGCGCGCGGCGUCUGGGGUAAACCCAUAUAGCUGACGCGAGGUCCAGGAACUGAGGGUUUUCAUCUAUGAAGCUAAGUGUGGAAUUUUGGUCUGAUCUUUGCUUGGUCUCACGCGCGACCUAGGUUUCACCUAAUUAGUCGGCGCGGGUCCAGAAAGUAGACAAAUUAAUGUAGUAGGAGUACGGUCUUGCGCGCGACCUGAUUGGUUAGCGCGGGUUUUUGGGACCAUACCCAUUUAGGUUUACACAGUCUAAUUCCUAACUUGCAUACUCAACUUUAGCAGGGUCGUUCCUACGUUUUUGGAGACCCUAAGUGAACUACGAAGUGGAGGCCUUUUUGCAAAAUAAAAAACUUAUUUAAGAGUUUACCAAUGAGCCUCACGGUUCGGUUUAAAACUAUGAAACCAUCCAAGCGGGUCAACGAUUUGGUUUCACAGUCAUUUUUUUUUACUUUCGAUCGGUUGGUUUAAUACAUUUCAAACCGUAACGAACGGUUUCGUUUACGGUUUAUAUCAAUACCGACCGUAUAAAACCGGACUGGACCGCAAGUUUUAAUAUUGUUUUAACUUUAAACUAUGUUAAAGUAAUUGUAUGUAGUUGUUUGUAUUACUUAAUUAAAAUAAAAUUUGUGCUGAACCAUUAAAUAAGUGAAGUAAUAUGGAUAACUAAGUUAGCAGCUCAUGCAUUGUCCAAUCUCAUUUCUUAUUUCUCAAUCCAACUGAGUUCUACGCAUGUUUAAUUGCUUUUUUCCUAACCCUCUUUAACAAACUCAAAAGAUUUCAAACCUCGCCUCCUGGACUCAGUCGCCUAGCACUGACCCACAUCCCCUUAUUGUUCUGAAAUUAAUUAUUCACUGUGUAAUCCUUGUUCUCUUAAGCUUUAUGUGACUAAUGUUAGUUUGAUUUCGUCUAUUUCUUCUGUUAAGUUAUAACAUCUAUGUGACAACAAUGGUGUGUGCUUUUAUCAAUUAUGUGCAGUCUUUAAUUGUCAAGGCUUACUGCUAAGUUUUAUGUCUCGGCUGAAUUCCAGACAACAACUAAUAUGGGGAUACCUAACCUAAGUUCCAAGCCAUCAAAUAAAACAAAUUAAAAAAAGCAAAUAAGCCCUAAACAGCAACCUGAAAGCAGCAAAUAUGGGACUGCAAUACCAAUCACAAAACUGAAAGAAUCAAUGUAUGUUAUUUUUGAGACUGGGCUAAGCAAAACUGAAAUAUUGAAUGUAUUAUACCGAAAUACUGAAUGUAUUAUACACAAAACCAAAAAUAGCCGUUUGUAAGAUUAAAGAUUGUUACCUGUAGGUUGUAGGCUGUAAUCUUCAAUUGAAACAUCGGAUUACCCUAAUUUGCGAAGAUUACCCAUAACCGACGCGCCAAUCAUCAAAUCUUGGAACUUCGAAUCGCCCUCGUGGUGUGGAUUCUGAAAGAAUCAAUCUUUAGUAGGAGCAGUAGCAAUGCAUAUAGAGAUCAGAAAAACUUAAUGAUAGGAUGGGCAGAACAUGGUGGGGUGGUAAAACCUUAGUGGGCUCAGGAUAGGAUGGGCCAUAGCCAUGAUAAACGAUCCCUGGUUGAGUAUGACCUCUGUUAUAAACUAAACUCGGAAUUCAAAUGAAAGAAUCUACGGCUAGUUAGGUUACAGUCGCACCACCCAAAACGGGCUGCAGGACCACUUGCUAGCUACUACAGAUACACCCCCAACAAAUACUUCACUUGCUCUAUCGAGUUAUACAGUUGAGCUCAAAGAAGAACAACAUUCAAAACAAUCUUAAAUAACAAUUACAAACUCCUAGACGGUACCUGUAUGGCUGUAUGUAUGGGUUUAAAUUAAUUAAUUGAAAUUCUAGACAUUAAGCAUGGAAAACAUGACAAUAAAUAAAAUUUGUUAGGCAGGCAUGGCGGGUCGUGGGUUGUUGGAGGCCAGAUCUUCAAAUUUGAGCUUCUUUUUGGAGCUGCUAGGUUUACCUCCUGAUCUGCUGCUA